This 429-nucleotide ribosomal RNA is filed under the name Chloroflexota bacterium. RNAcentral's name for it is "Chloroflexi bacterium partial 16S ribosomal RNA". It matches the Rfam family "Bacterial small subunit ribosomal RNA", at positions 355 to 776 of the family's 1533-position model. Lineage: Bacteria; Bacillati; Chloroflexota. The record is from RNAcentral.
UAGGGAAUCUUCGGCAAUGGACGAAAGUCUGACCGAGCAACGCCGCGUGAGUGAAGAAGGUUUUCGGAUCGUAAAACUCUGUUGUUAGAGAAGAACAAGGACGUUAGUAACUGAACGUCCCCUGACGGUAGCUAACCAGAAAGCCACGGCUAACUACGUGCCAGCAGCCGCGGUAAUACGUAGGUGGCAAGCGUUGUCCGGAUUUAUUGGGCGUAAAGCGAGCGCAGGCGGUUUCUUAAGUCUGAUGUGAAAGCCCCCGGCUCAACCGGGGAGGGUCAUUAGAAACUGGGAGACUUGAGUGCAGAAGAGGAGGGUGGAAUUCCAUGUGUAUCGGUGAAAUACGUAGAUAUAUGGAGGAACACCAGUGGCGAAGGCGGCUCUCUGGUCUGUAACUGACGCUGAGGCUCGAAAGCGUGGGGAGCAAACAGG